Molecule: ribosomal RNA, 511 nt
Filed under: uncultured Eubacteriales bacterium
Lineage: Bacteria; Bacillati; Bacillota; Clostridia; Eubacteriales
Description: bacterial SSU rRNA
Rfam family: Bacterial small subunit ribosomal RNA
Source: RNAcentral
UCAGGCGUGAAAGCCGGAGGCUUAACCUCCGAACUGCGUUUGAAACUGUGGUGCUUGAGUGAAGUAGAGGUAGGCGGAAUUCCCGGUGUAGCGGUGAAAUGCGUAGAGAUCGGGAGGAACACCAGUGGCGAAGGCGGCUUACUGGGCUUUAACUGACGCUGAGGCACGAAAGCAUGGGUAGCAAACAGGAUUAGAUACCCUGGUAGUCCAUGCCGUAAACGAUGAUUACUAGGUGUGGGGGGUCUGACCCCUUCCGUGCCGGAGUUAACACAAUAAGUAAUCCACCUGGGGAGUACGGCCGCAAGGUUGAAACUCAAAGGAAUUGACGGGGGCCCGCACAAGCAGUGGAGUAUGUGGUUUAAUUCGAAGCAACGCGAAGAACCUUACCCGGGCUUGAAAUGCAGAGGAAUUAUUGGGAAACCGAUACGCCAGCAAUGGUCUCUGUGUAGGUGCUGCAUGGUUGUCGUCAGCUCGUGCCGUGAGGUGUCGGCUUAAGUGCCAUAACGAGCGC